AUACUUAUCUCAAAUCUCAAUUGACUGAUUACACUUUGUUGUACACGAUACAUGUUUUUCGGCUUUCAUUCAGUAGAUACUACGGUACCUACAUAGGUACUUAACUGACAUAUUUUGAGCGUGUUUAUUUCUCCUAUGUCAGUAACAAACUGACAAGAAUUUAUUAAUCUGAAGUGCCUAACCGUGUAGAGAAAUUAUUUACAAAAUACUUUUUGUUGUGUAUAAAAAUAGAUUGAAAAAUGGGUUUAGAAAAUAUGCGACGUUGGCCUAUGUACAUUGUAUUUGCCGUUUGUAUUUUGUUGACCCUUUCAUUGUUAAAUAGUUGGAAUCUUGAAACUGAAUUGCGAAACAGAAUUAGUGAAGUAAGUAGGCAACUACAAGAGUGUUCAAAACAGCAAACGACAUGCAUGGAAGAAUCGUUAACGUUACUCGAACAACGCGAUAGUUACUCCAACAAAGUAAGCGACUUAAAUAAACAUAAAACAAGACUAGAGGAGGAUCUAUCAGAGUAUAGAACUAAACUAACAAAAUCGGAAAUUCAAAUAAACAACACAAAAGAUGAUGUCAACAUGUGUAAGACUGAGUUGCAGUCAUUAAAAAAUUUGCAUGUCAGCGAGUCUGCUAUGCUGGAGACACUAAGAUCGGAAAAGAAGAAAUAUACUAGCCAGCUAACAGCACGAAAACAGAAAAUCGAAGAAUUAGAGAAAGAAAUUGAAAGGCUGCGUGCUGUUUUAACAACUAAGAGUGCUCCUAAUCCCCCUGUACCAUCUAAAGUGACUCCAGCAGCUGUGCCACCAAAACAAAGCCCUGCUUUGAAUGUUGUUCAAAAUCCUAUUAAUGAGCCAGUCCUUGAGAAUGAUGCAAAAGAGGAUAUAGAAGAUCCUAAUGUAUUAAAUGAUGGACAAGAUUUUGAUGCACAAUUACAAUAGAUAUUGAUCUUUUUGAAAAAAAGUCCAUAAAACUGAAACUAAAAAAAUUUAUUUUGUGUCGUUGAUGAUACAUAAUGUGACUUUAAACUAUAUAAUUUAAUAACUAAGGACAAGGACUACAACUUGUAGCGAUAGCUAUCACAGAAUAGAAGAAAUAUGAUUAAAGCCUGAAUCGUGCUCAAGAAAUAUCCAAAUGAAGCAUAAAUGGACAGUUUAAAAUUUUGUAAAUUAAAUACAGAUUGUGGACAACAACAUUUGGACAGACUGCUCAUGGGAGAAAACACUCUAAGGCGCUGUAGUAAAUACGUCUUUUUAGAAUAGUAAAGUUCUAAGAAGACUAAUGGGACUUUUUUUAAAACGCUAAAAAGUUACGUUCCUCUGUUUUGUCUCAUAUGAGUCGUCUAUUAUCAAAGGCGGCAAUCUGUACAUUUGGACAAAAAAUUUUUAUUGAUAUGUCAAUACAGAUUUAUUUGAAUAUAAUCGUCUCCUUCAAAGAAUACGGUUCAAAACCUGCAUUAAAUAAAGGUUAAUAGUUAACCUGUUAUUUAUCUAAGAUGUCGUUCCGAAGAGUUUUGUGACUGCCAAUGGAAUACAAAGUCAAUAAUUCGUUUUUCUGAUUUACCAAUCAUUGUCCAAAAGUCAGAUUGCCGCCUUUGAUAAUAGUCGACUCAUAUAACGAAUAUUGGAAAGUCACUUUAAAAAGACUACCUACCUACCAAUGAAGUAGGAAACCUAUGGAAAUGAAACGUCAACCAAAAUUUCGUGCCACUGUGACGUCAUCUGGCCACAAAACAUGGCGGCUUUAGUGCUGUACAAAAGAUUUAAAUGUUAUCAGGUUUUAUCGAUAAACCUUCUUGGCUCAUUUUAUUUUAAAUAUUGUUGAGUAUUAUUCAUUUGUAGAAUUUAUACUUUAAUGGGAAGUAAGUAGGUAUAUUGUUAUGUGCAAAUAUGAUAUGAUUUAGAUGGGUGAAAUCUAAGACAAGUUCGUCCUUCGAAUUUGCCAAGUAAACGAUAUGAUGAUUUUUAAAAGUUGCUACACUGAUUUUAUAAAGUUGUCGUUUGUCGCAAAACAUAAAGAUAUGGCGUAGUUCAAAGCCAUCAGCCCAUUUCUAGCAUGCUAAAUGUUAUCGUAUUUUGAGUACGUGUUUUUCUUAGACUAUUACAAUCUAUUUUAAUUGUUUUGCUGACUCUAAAGUCCGUAACAUACUACCGCAGCGCACCCCAAGGAAGGUGCGCCGCACCAUUUGAAUCACUUUCGCUUGAGAGUGAUUCAAAUUUUAAA
Bombyx mori (domestic silkworm) is the source of this 2211-nucleotide long non-coding RNA. RefSeq lists it as uncharacterized. The record is from RefSeq and is a predicted model, not a curated record. NCBI's taxonomy places the organism in Eukaryota, Metazoa, Arthropoda, Insecta, Lepidoptera, Bombycidae. The transcript is spliced from 2 exons.